RNAcentral lists this long non-coding RNA (14463 nucleotides) under Solanum tuberosum (potato). RNAcentral describes it as "long non-coding RNA (STUB_LNC006995)". The record is from RNAcentral. Lineage: Eukaryota; Viridiplantae; Streptophyta; Magnoliopsida; Solanales; Solanaceae.
GUCAAGCCAAGACAGUAGUGCAAUGCCAGAGGACGCUUGAAGGUCCUGAAUCCCAAUAGCAAGCUACCGUAUGGACAUCCCCUAAAAAAUAGAGUCAGUAUAAUGUAAUAUACUGAUAUGAACAGAUACUACACUUGAUCUUACAUUAGAGGUGGUACUUUGCGAUUAUGUAGAUAAAAUGGUAUUUUUAAGACAUCAAACACCAGUGGUCUAGUGGUAGAACAAUACCCUGCCACUGUACAGUCCUGGGUUCGACUAUCUGAGUGCUGUGAAGAUAAAUUGUGCAGUCAGUGAGAACUUUGGGUGCUCACCUUGUGUCUGAUAUUAGACGACAAAACCAUAUAUAGGUUCACCAUUUAUCUUUAGGUGUAGCACAGUUACAAAUUAGAAGGGACAAAUUGUGUACUGUUAUGAAAAAAAAGGUUUUUAGAACUAGAAUUGGUGGGGUGAGCCAGGCCAAGGCAGUAGUGCAACACCAGGGCGACUAUUGAAGGUCCCGAUAGCAAGCUACCGUGGUGAACCUCCCCCUUAAAAAAUAGAGUUAAUAUCGUGUGAGUCAAUGACUCACAUAUCAGAUAUUAAACUGAUAAGAACAGAUACUACACUUGAUCUUAGCCAAAAGGCCGAGAAAGGUAUGCUUUUCCAUGUGUUAUGCCGGGAUAUUUUAUAUGUCACUUGUUAAAUUAAAUAUCUCUUUCUAGGCAGUGUGGGAUAAAAAUGUGUUUCUGGAAAAUUAGAAGGACUCUAAGAAGUUCAUCUAUCAAAAUUAAGGCCAUGGAAACAAAGUUUUUGAGUUAUUUUUUGAUUCGUCGAUGGAUUUUCUUUAUUUAUUGAUAAAAAUCACCAGUGAUUAAGUUCAAUAUCUUCCAAGAGGAAAAGUAUCAAGUGAUUUCUUUUCAUUUUCUUAUGUUUUUGGUGAACUCGAUUAUCCAUAUCUACGUGGUUGGUAGAGUUUCAUGAUGGUGGAAUGGACUGAAAACCACCAAUAUCUCUAGUUUGUUUCAUUGUACAAAUGAUUUAGUUUGGAAUUUUUUUUGGUAAAGAUGGAAUAAAAUUGAUGUUGAUAAUUUAUAUGCAAAAUCCAACUAAUUCAGGAUUGAGGCAUCAUUGCAAUGGUUGAAUUGCUAUUUUUGUAUUAUAGUUGUACUGCAUUUCUUUGAAAGGUAAAAAACAAUAUGAUGUCCCAGACUGAUCUUAUCUGCAUCAAUUUCAGGAUCUAAAUAGGAUAGAAAAUUCUAAAACUGUCAGUAGCAUUACAUGUGAAAGAGAAUUUAGUCUUCUUUGUUCUAAUAUGGACUUAAGUUUGGAACCUUCUAUCUCAGGAGGCAGUUACAACCAGUGUUUUAAAGGGCGGGGCAUGAGGCGAGACGUAAGCCCCGAGACAUAGGGAGUAAGUCCCAUGGAUCUACGGGGCAUAGUCUCAUUUAUUCAAUUUUAUAAUUUUAUUACUAAGAAAAUAAGCAAAAGUAAAAUUAAACUUUCAAUUAUUUUACAAGUAAUUUUUAUAAAUAACCUAUAAUAUAUAGAAAAAUUAUUAUGAUUUUUAUUUGAGAUAGAUAUUAAUAAGCAAUAAUGAAGAAAAAAAGUAUAAUAAUUACUAUUUUAGAAAUAUCACUACACCAAUAAUAAAAAAAAUAUGAUUUAAAGCAAAAAAAAAAAAGAAUAAUUAAAAACACUCAGGGCAAACGUUUUUAUGCCCAAAACUUUGGGUUUUAUGCUUAGUGCUUACUCCCCAAAUUCUAGGACUUAUCAAUUUGCGCCCAAGCAUUUUUGGUACGUCCCGCCCUGAGACUCGCCCAACAACCGUUUUUGAAAACACUGAUUACAACUCUUUAGAUAGCUAUAGAAGUUUAACUACUGAUGGUAACAAUACUGAUAUUUAGUUUCUUUCUAUUUUUUCUCUGCCAUUUCAGAUUGUGAUGAUAUCAGUAUACUUCCAUUUUUUCCUUAAAAAAAUAUUAAUUAUAUCUUGAUUGAUGAAACUUAUGAUUAAGGGAGCAAGAAUCAUUUUGUUUGAUGGAUCUCACGAAAUCAUGAAUUGAAAAACCUACAUGAGGACCCAUUUGGUAGAAGGUGAUGAAGAGUUGUUGGACUCAACCUCUUUUGUUUCUCUUGUUGAUGCUGGUGAAAAGGAUUCAACUACUAAAUCGACUUUCACAAAUUUCAAUGAAUCACUUUAUUGAAAGUUUAAAUAUAGUAGAGAUACAAUUAGAAGCCCAGACUUGGUAACGGGAAGAUUUAUGUUGAGUGAGACUCAUAAUAUUAUUGUUCUUGAUCUCUUUGAUCAGCUAGAGAAUCAGAAGGCUCGAACUGAUAAUGCAGAAGAGCAUCUGAAGAUUAGGAGAAAAGUAUUCUUUGAUUCGGUAGUUGAAUGUCUGGAAUUCAGUUGAUUGUAAACAGAGUUUUGGCAGAGGUCUUGAAGCUUGGGCAAAGUGGACAACCACUUCUUCCUUUUGAUCAAUGUUGUCCAUUUUGCCCAAGCUUCAAAACCUCGGCCAAAACUCUGUUUACAUCUAAAUUCUAGACAUUCAACCACCUAAUCAAACAACACUUUUUUCCUAAUCUUCACAUGCUCUUUUGUAUUUUUUUAAAUUCAAGCCUUCUGAUUCUCUUAGUGGUAAAAGAGAUCACAAGCAAUAAUACUCUGAGCCUCACUCAACCCAAAUCCUGCCAUUACCAAGUCUAAGCUUCUAAUAUAUCUCUAAUAUAUCUAAAAUUACAAUAAGGUGAUUAAUUAAAAUUUGUGCGAGUCAAUUUAGUAGUUAAAUCAUUUUCACUAGGAUUAGCAAGAGAAACAUAAGAGGUUGAAUCUCACAACUCUGCAUCAGCUUCACCAAAUAGGUCCUCAUGUAGGUUUUCCAAUUUAUAAUUUCGUGAGUAUCACCAAAAAAACAGAUGAUACUUGCUCCCUGAAUAUUCAGUUUCCAUUAGUUAAGAUUUAAUUGAUAUAUUUUCAGGGGGAAGUGGAAGUAUAUUGGUAAUGACAACAUUCAGUUCUUCAUUCAAUGUAAUGACUUGACAACAUCUUUAAAUUCCAUGAGCAAUUACUACACCGAUCUUAUGAGAAAGUGUAUCACCUAAUUUUUAUGAAUCUCUUAUAAUUUUGAGUUAAACAAACCUUAUGAAAUGCCUUUUCUUUAACAUUUCUAUUAAGCAAAUUCAACUACCUUCUUCCUAUAAUUAAUUUAUUGAAGCAACGAUAUACAACCAAAUUAGAGAACAAUGACUAAAAAGGCAUAAAAACAAGUAGUCAAUAUAGGCGUAGAAAGAAAUUUGACGAAAGAGUGGACACUUAAACGAUCGAAUUCAACAUAUAUCAUCAUAAUCUUAAAUAGGAGAAAAAAAUAGAAUGAAGUUAAGUAUUAGUAUUAUUACCAUCAGUAGUUAUACUUUUGUAGCUAUCCAAAGAGUUGCAUUUGUCUCCUGAAAUAGAAGGUUCCAAACUUGAGAUCAGACUAGAACAAUGGAGUCUGUAUUCUUUUUCACACGUAAUGUUGCUGACAGUUUUAGGAUUUUCUACUCUAUUUUGGAUCCUGAAAUUGAUGCAGAUAAAAUUAGCCUAGCUAGUACAUUAUACUUUUUUUUUCCUUUUCUAAGAAAAUGCAGUAUAGUAAUAAUACAGAAAUAGGAAUUCAACAACUGCAAUAAUACCUCAAUCCUGAAUUAGUUGGAUUUUGCAUAUAAAAUCUCAACAUCAAUUUAAUUCCUUCUCCACCAUUUUUCCCAAUACUUAAUAAUUUGUAGUACACCUUCAAACAAAAAGCAGAGUCAGUUGAGAAACCAAACAAUGAAUAAGCCAGAUGGCUAAAAAAAUGAACCUUUAAAAACUGAUCUCAACAGCAACAACAAUAGCAACAGCAUCAAGGUGGGGAAUGUUAAUCCCCCAUAACCAAAGGGGGAAGAAGCUACCGUUGGGGAGCACAAGAGAGAACAUCUCCGCAGAGGCGAUGAGAACAAGGAGAAGAAGAGGCGGAGAGCACAAAUCAUAAAACCCUAUCAUUUAGGGUUCUUUUAUAUUCACCUGGUCUGACCACUUUUGGGCCGACCAGCUCUUUUUUUGGUAUAUUUAUGUGUGGAUCCAUUUAGGAGCCCAUAUUUUAUUAAAUAAAAUGGACCAUGAGUUCAGAUUUAAACUUUAAAAAAGGGAUAUUGGUAGUUUUCAAUGUCAAUUGUGGUUUUCGAUCCAUUCCACAACUAUACUUGAUUUGUUUGGUUUUAUCUAAAAAAAAUGUCAAUUCGAGAUCAAACCAACCCGACAUUCAACAAAUUUGGUUAUCAGGGAUGAAUAAUUUCAUCAUCUAUAAAUCAUAUUUCGUCACUAAAACUCUUGUGUGACGAAAAAAAUUUCAUCAAUCAGUUGUCACUAAACGUGUGUCACUAAAAGUUUACAAAGACGAUUUAGUGCUUCGUCACUAAAAUAUUAUAUUAACUACAAAAAGAAAAAUUGUCCCCAUAUGCAUAAACAUUCUGACGAAUUUAUUUGUCAUAAAAAGUGUAACUUUUUUGUAGUUAAUAGUAUGUUUUGUCACUAAAAAUAUUAUUAUUAGUGACAAAAUUAAAUCAUCACUAAUUUAUCAUGUUCAAUCAGUGACGACAUCAAAUGUCUCUAAAGCUAUAUGUAUUUCGUAGUUGAAAAAAUACAAUAUCGUCACUAAUGACUAUUUUAAUAUAUACAAAAAAAAUAUUUUGUCCUUAAUGUAUAAAUUAGGGACAAAUUUAUUAUUAUAAAAGAGGUUAAUAAUUUUGUGAUUAAAUAUAUCAUUUUUUCACUAAAAGUGUUGCUUUUAUCGACGACAUAUAUUGUCACUAAAUAUUAUCAUAAGUAAUUACAAUUACAAUUGUCACAAAAUAAAAAAAUAAUUCAUAUUCAAUAAAAGGGGGUACUAGGACAAUACAUUUUGUGUCACUGAAUGUAAUGAACUUGUGAUGAAUUAAUUUAAUUCAUGACAAAAAUAUUUUUCAUAAAAUUCACCCAUGAUCACACAAUAAAAAUAACUAAAAUUAUACUAAAUUAAUAAUAUCUCAUUACAAACUCCUUAAAUAAAAGUAAAAUAUGUCCAAUGACAAGAAAAUCUAACUAAAAUAUAUCAAAUAUUACUCCUAAACAAAGACAUAUAAGUAAAAAUUCUUUCCAAAAUAUCAAUAAUGUGGUAAUACAUAGCUGGUAAUCAAUCUUGAUUCAUUUCUCACCCUUUAUACCUGUACAAAGAGAGAGAAAAUAAAACAAAGAUUUAGAUUGAGAUGAUUAUACUAGAGUCAAAAGUAAAAUGUGUAACACAAUUUGUCUUUCAUAUGUUCUAAUACCCACUUUAAUAAGGCUUAUUUGAUGGAUUGUCCCUGAUAUUACAAUUCCAUAUAUAUAUAUAUAUAUAUAUUAGUAGUUUCCAAUUUACAAUAUAAAUUUUAUCAUUACAAGUUUAACAUAAGUGAAAGUUUAUGGAGUAUAUCAUCACAAACUAUACAUGGCAACAUAAACUCUAUCAUUCAUGAAGACUAUUAACUAUUAAAAUAUAAUGUAAUCUAUGUAGAAAUUCUCACAUUCGAAUCAAACAUGCGUGAAUUAAAGGAGAAAUUACAUAUAACUAGAAUUUAUAGCCUCAUCCAUUUUGUUGCAAAAAAAAGAAGUGAGAGUUCUAGAAAACAAAACUCAAGCAAUUUCUUAGAACAAAAUAGAAAAAGACCACCAAUUUAUAAAACAAAUUAAUGUGAUUAAGAAAUGACACAAAUGAAGCAAUCAAAAGGCUUUUUUAUCAUGAAGUUGACAGAUAAAUACUUGUAAGUCCAGAUCUUUUUUAUCUAGCUCAUUUAACUAAAAAUUGAAAUGUUAUGUCAGUGAAUUAGGUGCAUCUUGAUAUAUCGUGAGUUUACGGUAUUUCUAAUACAUUUCAUUUACCAGUUGUGUGUGUCUAGGACCUUUUUAUAUUGGUUUUUAUGUGUUUUUAUCAUGUUUUGCAGGAAAGAUGUACAGGCGCGGAAGUAUAGAGACAGCCGAAAGAAAUGCAGAAACAAGGGCAUUCACGGAGGUGAUCUACGGACCGUAGGUCCAUUCACGGUCCGUAUGUGAUGACCGUAGAUCAGCAGGCAUGGGUAUUGAGGACAAAUCAGGGAAAUCUGAUCAAGUGUGGAACCACGGUGUCCAUUGACGGUCCGUAGUUGUAUCUAUGGACCGUACUAUUGAUCCGUAGAGUGAUACUGCGAGGGUUCCAGUACCUGAUUUUUGAAGAUUCUAAGUGUGGAGCUACGGAGGGGAUUGACGGACCGUAGAUCGAUCUACGGUCCGUCAAUCCCCUCCGUAGCUCCACACUUAGAAUCUUCAAAAAAUCAGGUACUGGAACCCUCGCAGUAUCAAUCUACGGAUCAACAGUACGGUCCGUAGAUCAAUCUACGNNNNNNNNNNNNNNNNNNNNNNNNNNNNNNNNNNNNNNNNNNNNNNNNNNNNNNNNNNNNNNNNNNNNNNNNNNNNNNNNNNNNNNNNNNNNNNNNNNNNNNNNNNNNNNNNNNUGAAAGUUUAUGGAGUAUAUCAUCACAAACUACUCUACAUGGCAACAUAAACUCUAUCAUUCAUGAAAACUAUUAACUAUUAAAAUAUAAUGUAAUCUAUGUAGAAAUUCUCACAUUCGAAUCAAACAUGCGUGAAUUAAAGGAGAAAGUACAUAAAUGCCAUCAAUUUAUAAAACAAAUUAAUGUGAUUAAGAAAUGACACAAAUGAAGCAAUCAAAAGGCUCUUUUUUCAUGAAGUUGACAGAUAAAUACUAGUAAGUCUAAAUCUUUUUUUAUCUAGCUCAUUUAACUAAAAAUUGAAAUGUUAUGUCAGUUAAUUAGGUGCAUGUUAUCAACAAUGUAAUUCUCAUUCGCUAAAUACAAAAGCUCUAAAAUAAUUCAUGAAUGUGGCAAGUGAAUACAAUAGCCAAGAACUGAUAUUGCUAAGGCAAUGAAUUAAAGUCUCUUAAUUGAAACAAAUAUUUCUAACGUGCCUAAAACUCACCUAGUAUUAAAAGUACUUACUCUUAUUUUGGUGAAUUUUAGAGAACUAAUUUUUCAUUCCAUUAUUAAAUUAACUGAUACUAUUUUUAAAUAAAUUAAUCCUCAUAUCAAAGGAUUCAACUAAUUCAAAAUGGAGUAAAUUCAAGUUUAACAACAUAACCCAUUUGUUUGUUUGUUAGGUAAUCACAUUUAUUUAAAAAUAUGUAAAUUAAAAUAGGCAAUUGACAUGAACAUUAAGCUACAAUAAUGUCAUAAAAAUAGUGGCUUAGGCAUGACAAAAUUAAACAACUAUAACAACAACAACAAAAAUAAAAAAUUCUUACAUUAUAUAGGACUUCAUUCAUUAAAUAGAGAUAUAACACUUUAACCCAAUCUUCAUUUCAAUCGAAUUAUAAAUAAAACAAAAUUAUAGAAAAAUUUAUCACAUAAUUACAUCAAUUUCCAUAUAUAAAUUAAGAGAUUAGGUGAAGUUGAGUACCACAAAUGAAGAAAUAAAAAUCGCAAAGUCUUGAUCGAAACUCGAUUAAAACACUCAUAAUAUUUUUUUUUGGUGCGAGUGUAUUGUAUUUUUGUUUCCGUGUGUUGUUAUUGCUUUGCGUGUAUAUUGUUUUUUAUUUUUUUGGUUUGUGCUGAUCGUCCUUUUUUUGUUUGUUUGUGUAUUUUUGUGUGAUGGUAGUAUAGGAGUUUUUUUUCCUUUCGUUCCUUUUUGUCGUUUGCUGGGUUUGGGGUAGUGUAGGUGUGUGUUGCUGAUUCUUUUAGUUUUGGUUUAUUGUUGUGUUAAUACAGGUAAUGAUUGUGUGUGUGGGUAGAUGGUGGGUAAACUAUUAGGGUAGUGGGAGGAAAAUAGGAUGGUGUAGGUGUAGUAGUGGGGUAAGAGGUAGUUUAGGUGAGUUUUUAUUUAUUUAUUAAAUUUAUAUAAAAAAUUAUAAAAAUAUUAGCUAAUUAUUUUGAACUAAUGAAAAUAUAAGAAAAAAAAUUUAGUUAAUCUAAAAAUGUAAUUAAAGAAAAUAUUAAAAGAAAACAUAUAAAAAAAUUUAUAAUUUUUUAUAUCUUUUUAAAACAAUUGAAAAAAUAAAACUUACCUAACAAUGUGAUUCAAUUUUUUGUGCUUUUCAAAUAAUUUAAAAUAAACUUAAUAAAAUAAAAUUAAAAUUAAAAUAUUUGAUUGAAGUUGAAAUAAGACAAGUAAUUAUCGAUUAAUUAUUUGAGGUUCUUAAUUUAAACAAGACAAAAUAUUUCUUAAUUUAUACAAAGACAAAAUAUUUCUUAAGACAUAAAUUAAUUAAUAAUUAUACAUAAAUAUGAAGUUAACUAAUUUAGAGUUAUAUAUAUAUAGAGAGAGAGAGAGACACACACACAGUUAUAUAAUUAUUUCUAAAAACUUAAAAAACUAUUUAGUGAAUAGAUUUAAAAUAUUUUUGAAAUUUUCAAAAUAAUGAUUUCAAAUUGAAGAAGCUCGAUAAUUAAUACGAAUUGCAUAUGAUCAAAAUUGGGUGUCAACACUCGAGAUGAUUGAAAGGUGUCCUAUAUUAUAAUUGUAUAUAAUCAAUGUUUAUGCACACUUAUAAAGUGCAGGUACAUUAUUUAAAAAUUAUCUACAAUUGAUUUGUGUAUGAGUUGUUUAAUUAUGUAUAACAAUAUUAAAGUGUAUAUAAGCACCUUUUAUACACUAUUAUACACGUAUAUACAAGUCUAUACACUAUUUUAAAUUAAAAUAUUAUUCAGUAUAAUUAUAAAGUUACAUAAAAUUAAACUUUCGACUUUAUUAAAAGAAAUACUAAUACUCGAUUCACUUCGAUCGGUAAAUCAAAUUUUAAAAAAAUAUUGAUACCCACAACGAUAGUACUUUAUCAUAAUAUAUUCAAAAUCUUAGUUGGUUAAUUUCUUUCAUUUGUGCUUUCAUUUUUUUUAGUUUAUUUCAAUUUCGACACGAAUGAAAAAGGUAAUAGAAUCCAUGAAAUAUUUUGCAUCUUUGCAGUCUAAGUUUGUAAGUCGAUAAUAUCUCUAUAGAGUUGCUCUACGUAAAAGGAUCCACUACUAAUUAUGUAUGUAUUUUUAGAAAGAAGCAAAUAGAUUGACUUAGUUUGUACAGUUACCAACAAAAAAUAAAGGCAAAAGUACUCAUUACCCCCCCUGAACUUGAAGCUUUUUAUACGGUGUACACCUAAACUAAAUUCCGUUUUAAUUACCCCCCGAACUUUUUUAUUCCUUCGUCGCGUACACCUUUUUCGUCCACCUGGCGUAGUAAUUGACAACACACUCUACUAGGCGCGUGAGGAAGUGAUUUUUUGCCACAUCACAAAGCUACAACGGUAAAAAAACGUAAAAUCUCCAUUUUUCUUUAAUAUUUGGCAUAUUUUAAACGAAAAAUUGGGCAAAAUGUAAAUGAAAAUUAAAGGAAAGAAAGAUUAACACUUACUUGGUAAGAAUUUCAGACAAAUUUGAAAUUUAAUCGACCAACUUCACGUCUAGAAAAACCCAAAUCCAGAAGGAGUUCCGCGAAAUCAGCCCUUAUUCAAAAAUAACUUUUAAACAAUGAAUUUUAAAUUUAAGAAAUUUAAUUUUUUGCAAUAUUAACUUAUCCAGGUGGCUAUUAUUUAUCCAGGUGGAAAUCCACAUCACCACUUUUGCCAGCUGUUGCGCACGUGUAGUCACAAUAGGAGCAGGUGGACGAAAAAGGUGUACGCGACGGAGGAAUAAACAAGUUCAGGGGGGGUAAAUAAAACGGAAUUUAGUUUAGGUGUACACCUUAUAAAAAGUUUCAAGUUCAGGGGGGUAAUGAGUACUUUUGCCAAAAAUAAAACAUUCCCUUCUUUUGUGGUAACAAUUCAUAAUCAACGCGAUUUUUUUUUCCUUUUUUCAUAUAUAAUAAAUAAAAGAUUUGAUCUUAUUAUUUAAUUUCUCUACGUAAAAUGAAAUGAACAGAAUAAUAAAAUUGAUAUAUUUCAAAAUAAAAAUAAUCUUAAAAAUGGUGGAAAAUCUACCAUUUUAUAAAUUUCAGCUUCUAAGAAAUUAAAUAAAUUCCCGUUAAUAAAGUCGUUGGAGUACAAGAUUUGGAAUCAAAAUAUGCGAGUAAUUUUUUUUAAUUUUAUUCUAAUUGCAGGAAAUUCAUUUCUAUUAAAUAUAAAUAAAUUUCUCUCUACAACUAACGAGUAAUAACAUUUUUCUUUUUAUAAUAAAUUUUAGUAUUCUCAAGUCAUUAGUAGCAAUAAUAUAUUUCAUUUCAUCCUCCAUUGAAUAAAAAUUAGGACUUAUAUCUUCUUUUACCGUGAAUUUUAUUUUGAAUCAUUGAGGUAAGGUUCUUUUCUUAAGAGUAAUUUGAAGAAAAAGUAGUGGGAAAAAGAAACUACUGAAAAAUGGGUUAAAGACUUAAUUUCACGUAGACAUGAGUUGUAUUUGUAUAAAAAUAAUCAAGAGACCAUACAUGAUAAUUUUUUGAAUACUUAAAGGACUAAAACUAGCAAAUGCAUAGUCAAGGGACUAAAAAUGAUAAGUAUAUAAUUAAGGGACCAAACUUGAUAACAUUUUGAAUAGUUAAAGGACUAAAUAUGAUAAAUGUAUAGUUAUAGGACUAUUUUAUGCCUACUUCAAUAGUUGAGGGAUCAUUUAUGAAAUUCUCUAAUUAUGAACAAUCGUACCCAAAGAAAAUUUUGUAUAUAGCUAUGAACUUUUUUGUAGUAAUUAGUUGAAUUAUUCAACUACAAAUUCUAAGUCGUCGCUAUUUCAUACCUUACAUAUUUUGUGACAAUUUUUGUUGUCACUAAAUUGUAGGUUGAUUAGAGACAAUAAAAAUGAUUGUCACCAAUUGUUUAUAUUAUUAGUGACGAAAAUAAAUGUCACAGCUAAAUCUAAAAUUUUAUAGCUAAAACUUAGAAUAUUUAACUACAAGCUCUAAUUUGUCACUAUUGUAUCAACAUAUUUUUGAGACGAAAUUAAUUUGUGUCUAAAAAUUAAUUAAUUUUAAGACAAAAAUAAUUUGUCACAAAUUAAAAAAAUCAUUAGUGAUGAAAUAAUGUGUCACUGGUGACUUUAAAUUUGUGACUGACAAUACUCAAUAAAUGGCGCCAAUACAUUUUUUGGUGGGAAACUUUAGUGGGCAAAACUUUGCUACGAACUAUUAUGUUUCGUCACUAAAAGUAUCUUCCUUGUAUAUUUAAGCACGAAAAGUAAUUUUUGUCACUAAAAGUGAACAAUUAAUGAUGAUUUUUAUGUCGUAGCUAUAUAUCAUAUUUGUUGUAGUGAUUAUAUAUAUAAUUUUUUAAAUUAUAAUUUUUUAUACAUAAAUGUAUUUACUUUGUAUUAUUUUUAAAAAUAUUUCUUAUACUUUUUCAUAGUUUUUAUCUUUUAUCAUAUUAUUUCUAGUUUUUGAGACUUGAAUUUUGAAUGGUCCAAUAAAUAUUAUAUAGUCCAUAUAUAAUAAUGUCUUUAUCUUAUCUUUUGUGUGUGUGCGCGUGUGCGUGUGUGUGAAUUUUAGUUGAAAAUUUUAAAUACUUUUUGAGGGUUUCUUCUUACAUGAAAAGAAUAUAAAAUAAAAUAAUUAUAUUAUACCUUCCUAUAAAUGUGUAGAUGUAUAAUUUGGUUCCAUAGGAAAAAAACAUUUUUUUUUUACAUGUAAUCAUCUUUUUUAGAAAUGAAGGAACAUUCUUGUAAUUUAUAACGAUUUCAAAAUAAAUAACAUAAAUAUACAAUUUUCAAAGUAAACAAAAAGCAAUAGAAGAAGAAGAAAUAAAUAAAUAUACUUUGAAGAAUAGAUUAGAUAUAUAGAGUUUGUUUAUUAUAAUUAAUAUACUUUUAUUGUCAGUAAGUAAUGGUUACAAUUAAAUAGCGAGUAAUGUUUUAACCGUGGAAAUUUCUACGUACGUAUUUAUCCAUACAAUAUAUAUUUGACUACAUAUACAUACAUCAUCUUCUUAUUUUAAAUUUUUGUGAUAAGUCUAUCACUAAUUUAUAAUUUCCUUAGUAUAAAACAAACUAAUAUUAGUUAAUACUUUAUAUCAUUUAUUUGCGUAAUUAAAUUUGACUUUAUUCAUUUCGAUCUUUUUCACCCUUCUCUAACCAAAUAUGAAUCGUAAUUAUGUUUAAUGAAUUUAAUUUUGUAGAAAUAUAAUAACCAAUUAUUAUGGAGUCAUAUGAAAUUAAUACAACUUGAUCUUAUGAUGAAAAAGUAAGUUACGUCAUUUCUUUAUAAUAUCUAUAACAAUGAUCAUGUCUUAAUUAUUUUAAAUAAUAUAAAUAUUUCUUUUUUGGGUAUAUAAUUUUUUAAAGUUUUCACGCAUGCAUUUUUCUCGAUAGUUUUUAUAACUUACAUAGCAAACACCAAUAAAGAAUAUAUUUUAAUCAUUAAGAUUUAUUUCUUUUAAGCCAUAAAUUUUAAAUUUUAAAAUUUUAUUAGUAAUUAGCAGAUUUUUCAACAUAAUUAAGUUACUAAUUUGAACCAAGAGAAAAUAAUUAUAAAUUUAAAAUUUGAUUUAUACUUGAGAGCAGAAUUUCAACCAUAAUUAAGAUAAAUUCGUGAGGAAGUGAUAUCUCUUUAGGAUAUACUCUAGCAUUUUAAAAUACUAAUUUGAACUAAAAGAAAUUAUAAACUUACACCAAUCAGAAGUUGGUAUAAAAAUUAAACUUAAGAGACAUCAUAAAGACACACAAGAAAGAAAGAAAGAAAGGAAAAAGAAAGAAAUAAUACAAUACACAUAUCAUUACGACUUUAAUCGCUAAAAAUAGAAGGAAAAACAAAAUUAAUACAUAAUUGUGUAAGAUCUUGUUGAUAUUCAUUUCACAAGACUGUCAAUAUUCAUGAACUUUCCUCUUAAACAAAAGUAGAAAGACAUCACUCUUGUUGAUAUCCACUUCAAGUCUAUCACUAUGCAAAAUCUUUUUUCUUAUCAAAAGUAGUUUGACUCUAUGCCUUCUUCAUUUUGUUAUCCGUCAUUUUUUUCUGUUAAAAAUGUUGUGUAGCGUUAGUUGUUCACUAAAACUCUCUUCGCAUCACCAUUUAUCUUUAGUAGUAGUACAGUACAUCUUACUGGAAAAAAAAGGUGCCAAAUGCUAGGUUGAAACAUUAGUCUAAUUGUCAAGAUUUUAUAAGUUAUAGCUAAUAUUAGUUCAUAUCUGAUUUUAAUUAAAAAGUGCAACUUGGAAUGGCAUAGAGAGCUCUUACGUAUCAAGCUGCCCAAAAUUACGUACUUCUAUGAAAUCAAAGGUGUUUAGAACUAGAAUUGGUGGGGUGAGCCAGGUCGAGGCAGUAGUGCAACACCAAGGCGACUCAUGAAGGCCCCAAUAGCAAGCUACCAUGCUGAACCUUCCCCCUUAAAAAAUAGAGUUAAUAUCGUGUGAGUCGAUGACUCACAUAUCAGAUAUUAAACUGAUAAGAACAGAUACUACACUUGAUCUUAGCCAAAAGGCCGAGAAAGGUAUGAUUUUCCAUGUGUAAUCGGGGCUAUUUUAUUGGUUACUUGGUUACAUAAAAUUUCUCUUUCUAGGCAGUGUGGGACUAGAAGAGCUUCUAUAUAUUAAACUAGAAAUCAUCUUCUCUGGUUUUAUAUAUUAAACUUAUUCAAUUCCUUUAAUCGUCUAUAAUAAAAUUGAUCAAAGAGUAGUGAAUGAAACAAUUUACGUUUUUCCGACCCCACCCCACCCCAGGAGGAUCAAUAUUCAAUAGUAAUGUCACUUACCCUCCAACAUGACUCGAACCGUCAACCUAUAGGUUGAUAGUGAAGAAGCUCAACUACUUGAGCAAGCCUCAUAUAUCCUGCAACAAGUUGUCAAGAAAUGUAAAUUACAAUUUGUAGUUUACAUAACAUUUUCCACCAUAACGUAUCGAUCUUGCUCCAAAAAUAUUAAAGGUUAAUAAUAAUUUCACAAAAAUCCUAAGUACUAAUAUCUUUGUCCUGGAUCUCGAAGAAACUCCUUCAACAAACAAUUGAAAGAAAUGUUAACAACCUAGAAUUGGUGGGGUGCGCUAAGCCAAGGCAGUAGUGCAACACUUAGAUGACGCUUAAAGGUCGUGAUAGCAAGCUACCGUGAUGGACCUUCCCCUCAUAUUCCUCUGUUGUGAACAAUAUUGAAAACUAAUAAGAAACACAAAUUAUUUUUCACGAAUCUUUAAAGAUUUGUCAAUUCAUAACACAAAUUGAAUCUUUUGAUACUCUAGAGAUUUGAGAAUGACCUUUUAUAAUUCCCAAAAAAUUGAUAAGUGAGAAUGUAAAGUAAGCUUUUACAACUAAAUUUAGUGGGGGUGCGUCAAGUCAAGACAGUAGUGCAACGCCAGAGGACGCUUGAAGGUCCUGAAUCACAAUAGCAAGCAACCGUAUGGACAUCCCCUCAAAAAUAGAGUUAGUAUAAUGUAAUAUACUAAUAUGAACAGAUACUACACUUGAUCUAACAUUUGAGGUGGUACUUUGCGACUAUAUAGGUAAAAUGGUAUUUUUAAAACAUCAAGCGCCAGUGGUCUAGUUGUAGAAUAGUACCCUGCCACUGUAC